GAAAAAGUACAGAUUCUAAAGUAGAUAUCUAUACUCACUUUAAUUUAGUAUCUUCUAUUGCAUAUAACACAAGACUGUGAAAGCUUCAAUCCCUCAUCUUUCUCCAGAAUUUUCUCAAUGGGCAAUCAUCGAAAUACCUUAGGAGAAGAGGUAAGAGUUCUAUAUGUAUAUACCCCUAGCUAGUGGUAUAGAUGAGAGACUAUAAAU
This 207-nucleotide unclassified non-coding RNA is filed under the name Hevea brasiliensis (rubber tree). Lineage: Eukaryota; Viridiplantae; Streptophyta; Magnoliopsida; Malpighiales; Euphorbiaceae. The record is from RNAcentral.